Molecule: non-coding RNA, 185 nt
Filed under: Thalassionema frauenfeldii
Lineage: Eukaryota; Bacillariophyta; Fragilariophyceae; Thalassionematales; Thalassionemataceae
Source: RNAcentral
AAAAAAAAAAAAAAAAAAAAAAAAAUAAGAUUUGAAACAUAACAUCUUUCAUUACUGCUGAAUAGAUCGCAAAAAACAUUUUUUUGUAAUCCUUCCUCUUCUUUUUUUUUUUUGUUUGUUUGCAGCAUCGCGGAGGAGAGUCGUUACGAAGCUGCUUUUCCAAUCGGAAUAGUAAUAAACAAUAA